RNAcentral lists this ribosomal RNA (404 nucleotides) under uncultured bacterium. RNAcentral's name for it is "bacterial SSU rRNA". It matches the Rfam family "Bacterial small subunit ribosomal RNA", at positions 355 to 776 of the family's 1533-position model. The record is from RNAcentral. RNAcentral also lists the same sequence under 2 other names.
UGGGGGAUAUUGCACAAUGGGGGGAACCCUGAUGCAGCGACGCCGCGUGGGUGAAGAAGCGCCUCGGCGCGUAAAGCCCUGUCAGCAGGGAAGAAAAUGACGGUACCUGAAGAAGAAGCCCCGGCUAACUACGUGCCAGCAGCCGCGGUAAUACGUAGGGGGCAAGCGUUAUCCGGAUUUACUGGGUGUAAAGGGGGCGCAGACGGCGAUGCAAGCCAGGAGUGAAAGCCCGGGGCCCAACCCCGGGACUGCUCUUGGAACUGCGUGGCUGGAGUGCAGGAGGGGCAGGCGGAAUUCCUGGUGUAGCGGUGAAAUGCGUAGAUAUCAGGAGGAACACCGGUGGCGAAGGCGGCCUGCUGGACUGCAACUGACGUUGAGGCCCGAAAGCGUGGGGAGCAAACAGG